AACAAUCUCAUUGAUGCCAUCUAUUGUGAAGAGCAAUCAAAUCCUAUGCAUACUCUCCCUGCAUCACGCACUACCCAAUUUGAAGACCAGGCCAAAACUGAUCAAAAUAACAUGGUGUCAGGCACUUUACAUGUGUCAGAACAGAGAACAGGGAAACGCAUGACACGGAAGCCUGCUAAAUAUUCUUCACCCUUCAAGUAUGGAAUUAUGUCCCGUCCUGCACCCAAUGUGGACGCAGCAAUGAGUCUCUUUGGACACAUGUGCGCUGAUGACUCCACAUUGAAAAGCAUGCCGGUGAUCCAGUUUGGUAGCACCCCUUUAACUUGUGACAUGAUUGCACAAUCAUUUGCCGAUGGUGCAAUCCCAGACUCAACUUUUAUCACAGGAUUUGUCAAAUGUCUUAGCUAUGAUGAUUAUUGGAUCCGAGUGCC
Setaria italica (foxtail millet) is the source of this 431-nucleotide long non-coding RNA. RefSeq lists it as uncharacterized. The record is from RefSeq and is a predicted model, not a curated record. Lineage: Eukaryota; Viridiplantae; Streptophyta; Magnoliopsida; Poales; Poaceae. The transcript has 3 exons.